CCCAGCACCAGGAUUCCCAGGUGUUCCAAUCAGUACUCAGGACAGGACACAGACACUCACAAUGGAGUUUGUGCUUGGCUGGGUUUUCCUUGUUGCUCUUUUAAAAGGUGUCCAGUGUGAGGUGCAGCUUGUGGAGUCUGGGGGAGACCUGGUGAAGCCUGGGGGGUCCCUGAGACUCUCCUGUGUAGGCUCUGGAUUUACCUUCAGUAGCUAUGGCAUGAGCUGGGUCCGCCAGACUCCGGGGAAGGGGCUGCAGUGGGUCGCAGUUAUUAGCAGUGAUGGAAGUAGCACAAGCUACGCAGACUCUGUGAAGGGCCGAUUCACCAUCUCCAGAGAAAACGGCAAGAACACGCUGUAUCUGCAGAUGAACAGCCUGAGAGCCGAGGACACAGCCGUGUAUUAUUGUGCAAUAGACACAGUGAGGGGACUGCAGUAUGUCCAGUGUGAGGUGCAGCUGGUGGAGUCUCGAGGAGACCUGGUGAAGCCUGGGCGAUCUUGA
Enhydra lutris kenyoni (northern sea otter) is the source of this 499-nucleotide non-coding RNA. Lineage: Eukaryota; Metazoa; Chordata; Mammalia; Carnivora; Mustelidae. The record is from the annotation of a RefSeq genome assembly.